CCUUCGAUAGCUCAGUUGGUAGAGCGGUGGACUGUAGUUGGUUGACAAGAAAUGAGUAAUAGUAAUCCAUAGGUCGCUGGUUCAAAUCCGGCUCGAAGGA
RNAcentral lists this transfer RNA (100 nucleotides) under Glossina brevipalpis. RNAcentral describes it as "tRNA tRNA-Tyr". It matches the Rfam family "tRNA". Rfam says of the family: Transfer RNA (tRNA) molecules are approximately 80 nucleotides in length. Lineage: Eukaryota; Metazoa; Arthropoda; Insecta; Diptera; Glossinidae. The record is from RNAcentral.